ACGUAGGGGACAAGCGUUAUCCGGAUUUACUGGGCGUAAAGCGCCUGUAGGCGGCCUGACAAGUUGGACGUGAAAGCUCCUGGCUUAACUGGGAGAGGCCGUUCAAAACUGUCAAGCUAGAGUCUGGAAGAGGAGAGCGGAAUUCCCGGUGUAGUGGUGGAAUGCGUAGAGAUCGGGAGGAACACCAGUGGCGAAAGCGGCUCUCUGGUCCAAAACUGACGCUGAGGGGCGAAAGCGUGGGGAGCGAACGGG
This 252-nucleotide ribosomal RNA is filed under the name uncultured bacterium. RNAcentral describes it as "partial 16S ribosomal RNA". It matches the Rfam family "Bacterial small subunit ribosomal RNA", at positions 525 to 776 of the family's 1533-position model. The record is from RNAcentral.